This 407-nucleotide ribosomal RNA is filed under the name uncultured beta proteobacterium. Its description in RNAcentral is "bacterial SSU rRNA". It matches the Rfam family "Bacterial small subunit ribosomal RNA", at positions 223 to 622 of the family's 1533-position model. The record is from RNAcentral. Lineage: Bacteria; Pseudomonadati; Pseudomonadota; Betaproteobacteria.
AGAGCGGCCGAUGUCUGAUUAGCUUGUUGGUGAGGUAAAAGCUUACCAAGGCUUCGAUCAGUAGCUGGUCUGAGAGGACGACCAGCCACACUGGGACUGAGACACGGCCCAGACUCCUACGGGAGGCAGCAGUGGGGAAUUUUGGACAAUGGGGGCAACCCUGAUCCAGCCAUGCCGCGUGAGUGAAGAAGGCCUUCGGGUUGUAAAGCUCUUUCAGCCGGAACGAAACGGUUACAGUUAAUACCUGUGACUACUGACGGUACCGGAAGAAGAAGCACCGGCUAACUACGUGCCAGCAGCCGCGGUAAUACGUAGGGUGCGAGCGUUAAUCGGAAUUACUGGGCGUAAAGCGUGCGCAGGCAGUUUUGUAAGUCAGAUGUGAAAUCCCCGGGCUUAACCUGGGAACU